UACGGAGGGGGCUAGCGUUGUUCGGAAUUACUGGGCGUAAAGCGCACGUAGGCGGUUUGUCGCGUUGUUCGUGAAAACUCACAGCUCAACUGUGGGCGUGCGGGCGAUACGGGCAGACUGGAGUACUGCAGGGGAGACUGGAAUUCCUGGUGUAGCGGUGGAAUGCGCAGAUAUCAGGAGGAACACCGGUGGCGAAGGCGGUUCUCUGGGCAUGUCCUGACGCUGAGGAGCGAAAGUGUGGGGAGCAAACAGG
This 253-nucleotide ribosomal RNA is filed under the name uncultured bacterium. Its description in RNAcentral is "partial 16S ribosomal RNA". It matches the Rfam family "Bacterial small subunit ribosomal RNA", at positions 524 to 776 of the family's 1533-position model. The record is from RNAcentral.